Molecule: ribosomal RNA, 446 nt
Filed under: uncultured bacterium
Lineage: Bacteria
Description: partial 16S ribosomal RNA
Rfam family: Bacterial small subunit ribosomal RNA
Source: RNAcentral
CCUACGGGUGGCUGCAGUCGAGAAUCAUUCACAAUGGGGGAAACCCUGAUGGUGCGACGCCGCGUGGGGGAAUGAAGGUCUUCGGAUUGUAAACCCCUGUCAUGUGGGAGCAAAUUAAAAAGAUAGUACCACAAGAGGAAGAGACUGCUAACUCGGUGCCAGCAGCCGCGGUAAUACAGAGGUUUCAAGCGUUGUUCGGCAUCACUGGGCGUAAAGCGUACGUAGGCUGUUUCGUAAGUCGUGUGUGAAAGGCGCGGGCUCAACCCGCGGACGGCACAUGAUACUGGGAGACUAGAGUAAGGGAGGGGGAACCGGAAUUCCAGGUGAAGCAGUGAAAUGCGUAGAUAUAGAGAGGAACACUCGUGGCGAAGGCGGGUUCCUGGACAUUAACUGACGCUGAGGCACGAAGGCCAGGGGAGCGAAAGGGAUUAGAUACCCCAGUAGUC